This 6937-nucleotide long non-coding RNA is filed under the name Sus scrofa (pig). RNAcentral's name for it is "lncRNA (ENSSSCG00035049991.1)". The record is from RNAcentral. Lineage: Eukaryota; Metazoa; Chordata; Mammalia; Artiodactyla; Suidae.
UUUUCUUUCUUUUUUUUUUUUUUUUUUCCCCUCUAACUUGCCAUGUUUAACUCGUCUAUAAUAUGAAGAUAAUACUAUCUACCUUGCCAUGUUUAACUCGUCUGUAAUAUGAAGAUAAUACUAUCUACCUUGCCUUGUUAUGUUAAGAAUUAAAAAAGAGUGUACAUGUUAAGUACCUAGAAUCUAGUGGACAGUCAAAUGGUAGUUCUAAACAACUCCAGCUAGCAUCUUUGAUAAAUGUCUUGUUUCAGCCUUCUUGAGUGCAGGAGCCUAGACCCUGUACUUAGAAAACCAAGAGCCAUGUAAGAAAAUGAUGAAAACAAAGUUCAGAAUUUCCCAGGUCUGUAGUAAUACUUUUUUUUUUUUUUUUUGUCUUUUUGCCAUUUCGUGGGCCACUUUCGCAGUAUAUGGAGGUUCCCAGGCUAGGGGUCAAAUCAGAGCCAUAGCCGCAGGCCUACGCCAGAGCCACAGCAACUCGGGAUCCGAGCCGCAUCUGCAACCUACACCACAGCUCACGGCAAUGCCAGAUCCUUAACCCACUGAGCGAGGCCAGGGAUCGAACCCGCAACCUCAUGGUUCCUAGUCGGAUUCGUUAACCACUGAGCCACGAUGGGAACUCCUGUAGUAAUACUUUUAAAGGGAAGUUUUGAGGUGGGAAAUAGAUAUCUGGAAUCUGCUUUAAGGUUUUUGUGUGCUCAUUGUGAUGGACUGUGUAAAAUGCAUGUCCAGAAAAAUGCGGGUGGAUGCGUCAACAAGGGCUGAUGUUAACAGGAGCCCAGGCAGUAGGGAGAGUCCCAAACAACUCCCUCUGGGGAAGACUGAGUCUCCCUGGGGCUCGGGCUUUUAAUCAACAAGAAAAGCCACCAUGGGGUUCCUGGUCCAUUAGUAAUAUUUCUGUUGGCAGCAGAGUGAUACUGUAUCUGCUUUGGCUAAAAAAUAUGAAUCUUCUACUCUCUUACUAACAGAUGAUGGUGAAGGGGUACAUGGUAACUGUUAAGGACUGCGUGUUUGUGUCCCCCCAAAAUUCAUGUGUUGAAACCCUGAUCUUCAAUGUGAUGGUGUUUGGAGAUGGAGCCUUUGAGAAGUAAUUAGAUUAUGAAGGUGGGGGUCUUUAUGGUGAGAUUAGUACCCUUAUAAGACGAGAUGGGGGAAAGCUUGCUUCCCCUCUGUCUGUGUGUCUCUUUUCUGUCUGUUUCUCUCUCUGUCUCUCUCUGUGUUUCUGUCUCUAUCUCUGUCAUUGUCUCUCUGUCUCUCUCCUUGUCCUGGCCUCUCUCUCUUCUCUUUCUCUUAGCAAUGUGAGGAUCCAUCGAGAAGAUGGCUAUGUAUAUACACCGGAGAGCGGAUCUGCAGCACCUUAUUUUGAGCUUUCCAGCUUCCAGAAUUGUGAGAAAUAAAUAUUUAUUUAAACUACCCAGCCUAGUCUGUUAUUUUUGCUCUAGCAGCCUGAAGUAAGACAGUAACUAAAGGGAAUAAAGAACUGUGUUAUUCCAACUAUAGACUUUAUUGCAAAUCUGAAAUGGAAAUAAAGUCAAGGGUCUAGUAUUUAUUUACAAUAAAAUCAAUGGGUUAAGCGUGCUUUUCGAUUCUUAUGUUUUACCGUGUUUUGAAAUAAUAAACAUUUAUGGUGUUCUUAAAGCAUGCAUUGUUCUCAUUAUUUUAUGUGGAUUAUCUUACUUACUCCUCACCACGAUGCUGAGAAAGAUCUUAUUGUUAUUUUCAGUAGCAUCAAGAGGUUAGAAUGAAAGAUUCCCCAAGGGCACUUGGUGAUGUGUCAUUGAUGUCUGUGUCUUGAGAUGGCACAGUGGUAAAAGAGCUGUCUGCCCAGGCAGACAUGAAUUGUGUGCCUGGAGACUGUCCGUACAAGGUGGGUGACUAUGUGUACAGCCUCCGUCAGUUCCCAUCACAUUAGGAUGUCCACAGUUCUUUAUCUCAUCUUUAAGGCCUUAUCUAUCCCAACUUCUUCAUUAGUAAUUCUCUGCGCGUCCUUCUCUUUCCUUACCUGCUGUGUGUUUCCCCAUAGCAGCUAUUGCUACUUGACAUUGUUGCGCGUAGAAAGGAAGAUCAGUCCCAGGUGAGGAUUCCCGCCACCUGGAGGGCAGUAAAGAGCACAGCGGUGCCAACCCCCCAAAAUAGAAGCCCACAGACCUCAAGCCCCUGCAGCACCUGUGGGCUCCGAGUUUCCAAGGAGGACUCAACACAUGAUGUGCUGGCUGGAACAGUGCUUUGCCCAGAAGGGAGAAGUAAUGCAGCAAGAUCAGCGUCUAUGGUGUGUGCUUGUCUGUCCUGGCCAGCGAGUCGAGUCUCUCCUGAGAGCUGACCUAGGGGAUGGACUGCACACACCCCUCUGCAUGAAGACUCCCUUCUCUCCCCGUGGAGAAGGCAGGGGGCAAAGAUACUGGGGGCGCUGGCCAGGUGCCAUAAAACACACAUGCUUAGGCAACACAAGGAAGUUUACUGCCUCCCAGCAAAGGGACAGUUUCUCCUAAUAAGGAAGAACUUGGAGCCAAGAGACAGCUUGCACCUGGCCUCCAUAUAUGGAAAUAUUCCAGGCCCAGAGCACCCUUAGGUGAUGCUGGGGAGAGCAUACAGGUCAUGUGGUGGCUGCUGCCCCAACAGUCCACCCCCAACUCUCAGUGGGGUACCAGGAAAAACAAACAAAAUAUGUCACAGGUUCCAGGACCACUGGCUAUCUUGAACAUGGAGGCAGAGGGGUGUUCUGUGCCUCACAGAACCUCCCUGCUCAAGUGAGACAGUAUGUGCUCAGGGCCACCAAUGUGAACUUCCAAGGAGAAUGACCAGACUUUCUUGGAGUAUGGCCCUCAGUCAGGAGCCCUAGGUUCCAGGGUUUAGCCAACAAAGAAGGUCAAAGAAUGAGAGUAAAGUGGACUUACAAAUGAUCCUGCUUGAAUAUGGUUUUUCUCCAGCUUGGUCUUGACUUUCCCCUAAUUGUUGAUGUACAUGGAGCAAGAGGUGUUGGCUCUAACAGCUUGUUCUGCCAUUAGGUAAUCCAGGGUGAUCAGGUUACCCGUCAUCAACUUGGCUAGUGAGUUCAGUGAAUCCCUUUGGUCCCGAAUGGCCUGGAUGGUGGAAUUAGCCAUUUCUGCCAUGGUCAAAGAGGGUGUAUGUCAUCUUUUCUAGGGCCUGUGUGCUAUCCUGGUAUUUAAUUUUGGAUAGUUAAGUGGAACCAAUUGUCAGUCUUCCCCUUGGGAAAAAUGUCACCUGCCACCCUUUGAUGGGCCAGCAGAGCGUGGGCCCUCUCCCUUGCUAUGCAGUUAUCCACAUGGACAGUGGGUCCUAGGACCCUGAGGCAGCAAGACUCUUCUCCAGAGUCAAGGCCAUUGCCCAUUGAGGUCCAAAAAGAAAUGUAUUUCACAUGAGAACAAGUGACCGCCACCAUGUUAUUGUAUCUUUGACUAACCCACUUACAUCUUGUGCCUGCCUCUUGUUGUGGGUUUAAGAGAAAAAUUUAUACCUCUGCCUCUGCCCAGAUUGCCUGUAUGAGUUGGCAACACCUGACCCCCUGUGGGGUCCUUUCUAAUCAUGUUAUAGAUGACAUUAAAGCAGAAGACGCUGGAAUGAUCCUGCACCUGAACUCUUAUCAGUGGAGUCACUCAUCAGGCAGAUCCAUUGAUGGCCUAAGGAAGUCCUGGUCAUAUGUAUUGGCCAGGCCACCAGGGUGGGGGUCUGAAGCAAGAGGCCUCUCAGCCUUGGGUGGCAGAUCCACCUUUGUUUUAGGUCACCUUGCUUGGCUAUAGCAGUGCUGAUUUUGAUGAGGUGUUAUCAGUCCAGGUAUCACCAUGGGUCUUAAAGAGGAAGAGAGAGGUCUGCCUUAUCUUCCAAGGCGGAAGAUGUUCUUGUUGUCACUUGAGGUGUGAAGGGUCUGAGGAUGGCCACCCAGCCUGUCCCUCCUAACCCAGGGGCCAGGACCUCCUCAGGAACCCAUUACUCUUGCUGUUAUACUUAAUCCUCUCAGCCCAACAUUCAGUCCAGGCAAUCAAGUUAUGUCCUGUACAAACUUUGCAUAUCCUGUAACAUCACCUGUACAGGGGAGUUGGGAGUUCCUGAUGCUACCAGGGGAAUCCUUGUAUUGUGGUAUUCUGUGGCCCUGUCCUUAUUUCCUAUGGGGUCCCAGGGUUGCCAAGCACCCUGGGGCAGCAUGCCUUCCAAGUUAGAGUAGGGGCUGGGUCCCUGUGUCAAGUGCUACUUUUAUGUGGGCCACAAACUGUUCCUGGGCAGAGCAUUGAAGAGGCAAAAAAGAAAAGGAGUGUUUGAGCAUGCUGAGAUUGGGAUUCCUCAAGUGUAAAUUAAUCAGGCUACUGCCUUGUCCUUCACCCCCUCCAAGCUAGUAUUCCUGAGCACGCAUUGCAGUGCUAGAGCAUCUCUGGCCUCAGGUGGUACAGGGAGGAGGGACACUUAUUACUUCAUCCCCCUGAGUAUCCAAAUGUCUCUAGUGAGAUGAGGAUACCACCCUGCUAAUAAUCUUUGAUGUCUUUUUUUUAAUCGUCUUGGUCUUCCACCAUCCACUGGCUCCCUUGGCUUGUGGGUGGCAUGGAAUGUGGAAGGUCCAGUGUAUGCCAUGGGAUUGUGCCCACUUUGGUGUGGCUUGUGCUGUAAAAGAAGUUCCCUGAUCUGAAUGGGGGCCAGAAGGGUACCUGAACACAUGGCAGAGAUUUUUUUCCAGUGUGACUAGGGAAUUAUUGGCAUGUGGGUACCAUAUGGGAAUGGCAUUUCCAUGUCUGGAGGAAGUGUCAAGCUUGUGAGGCAUCAGAGCAGCCCAUAUCUGAGUGUUAAAGGUCCAGUGGAAUCAGUCUGCUGAAUCUAAGCCUGCAGAUGCCCCAGCAGGUAGGUCCUCCUUCUCCUUGUACUGCUUGGGUUUGUUGGCAGCAAUUGCAAGGUAUGCAAAACCACAUCCUGGGCUUCUGCAUCUUUGAGGAUUAUUCCCCUGGAUUUGGUCCAUUCCUGAUUUAGGUACACUUCCAUGACUGGUUCUCUGAUGCAUUCAGCAGGCUACCAUUGUGGCUUGUUAGCUCAGACAUUUCAUUCCUGUUCUGGUUUGAAAAGCCCUUUGUCAUAAGCAUCCACAUGAGUGACUAAGACUUGUCAGUUGCAUGUAUCAAGGUAUUUUGUCCUUGUCUUCACUCAGGGGUUUCUGUAAUAAUUCUGUUAUUUAGUUGCCAGUCCUUUGACCAAAUGGCUAGACUGCUUGCCACAGCCCAGGAGUCAGUAAAAAUCUAGCGAGGCUUGUUGGGUGGAUUGACUUGCACAGCCAUUACCACCAUAUGCCGUCCGCUGGGUGGAGCAUCCUCCAGUUUCUGCUAAGAGGUGGCCAUGCAUGUGGCAGAUGGCUGUGACAGCCCAGUGGGCCCCACCAGCUUUCAGUUUUGCAGAACCAUUAUUAAAUCAGGCCAUGCCUCUCAGCUAGAACCUCUUCAAGGAAUGACCUCCCCCUCCCUGGGGACGGAGGCGGGGAAGGCAUCCCUUUUUGGAAUGCUCUGUUCCUGCUGGCAGUUUGGCUGCCUUCUUAUGGAGUCCAUUGAUCCCUUGGAGUCCUGGCCUGGCCCAGUUUUGAAUGUACCAUUUUCCAUUUGAUGAUGGAACUUGUCUGAUUUUAUUAUUGAGAUUGGUGGGAAGCCGGGUAACCUCAGGUCUCAGAGUCACGUAAGUUCUUUUGAUGUGCAAUGUUCCAUCACCGCCAGAGUCUGACAGCAGUGAGAAGCGGCCGUUCAAAGGGUGCAUGUUGGACAGUGGCUUCAGGCAGCUUGUGGGUCCAAAAUCCAAGAGACUGGCACCCCAAUAUGUUUUUCUGCUGCCACAGACUCCAACCAGCAUGUGUGGGCAUUGAGGGCACCUGCAGUUCCAUAGGGCUUCCAAGAUCCAAAGUCACAAGGCCAGUGCCCAAAUCUUAGCCAAUGGAACAGCUUCCAGGGCUUGUCGUUGGAAAAGCCCCAUUCUAAGUCCACUUCCAGAAGGAUACCCAGAUGGGGUACGUGCUGUCCCCAGAGAGGCCCACUUGCUGCUAGGCUUCUUCUUUAGUAGUGGGUGUAGCUACUGACAGUGACUUCUGUUCAACUUUCUCCAGAAUAUUCGUUGACACUUGUUUGUGUGCUUCUGACCAUGAGGUGUGUCCACUUAACGUCCGUUCUGAUGAGUGUUCCACCAGCUGGUCCAUGGCCGUGUAUUUAAACACCACCUUUCUUCACACUGUCCCUUUCAAGAACCCUGAGUUUUAAUAACCAGCUUUUAUUAAAAUGGUGAAAUGUUGCUAUGAUGAAAGUAAUAUUUUCUUCUUAAAAUAAAAUUUGGAAAAGGAGAAAACACUGACUCAUAAUCCCUCCACACAGAAGUAGAAUGGCUGAGGUCCUAGAAUGUUUCCUCCUAUUCUGUUUUGUGUAUUUGUUUGCUUCCUUGCACAGAGCUGUGUUUGUGGUUCAUGUUUUGCUUUUUGAACUUAAUAUAUACAUACAUAUAUCCCACGUUGUCAUAUGCCUUGUUUUGAAAAUGAACCAAAUAUUGAGUAUAUACUGACAUGACAGAGAUAAAUUGGGAGUGUCUAUGUAGGUUACCUUGUUUACAGCAGCAUCCAGUGAGGUGGACAUUAUCAUCCCUAGUUUUCAGUUGAGGAAAUGAAGGCUCAAAAGGUUUCCAUCACUUGUCCAGAUCACAGAGCUAAUAAAGGCCAGUGACAAAAUUGAUCCGGCCCGGGGCCGACUUCAAGUACCUGUGGGAGUUCCUGUUGUAGCACAAUGGAAAUGAAUCUGACCAGGAAUCAUGAGGUUGCAGGUUCAAUCCCUGGCCUCACUCAGUGGGUUAAGGAUCCGGCAUUGCUGUGAGCUAUGGUGUAGGUCUUCAGAUGCUGGUCAGAUCUGAUGUUUUUGUGGCUGUGGCACAGACUGUAACUCCGAUUUGACUCCUAGCCUGGGACCCUCCAUAUGCCGUG